UACGGAGGGAGCUAGCGUUGUUCGGAAUCACUGGGCGUAAAGCGCACGUAGGCGGAUCGUUAAGUCGGGGGUGAAAUCCCAGGGCUCAACCCUGGAACUGCCUUCGAUACUGGCGAUCUUCGAGUCCGGGAGAGGUGAGUGGAACUCCGAGUGUAGAGGUGAAAUUCGUAGAUAUUCGCAAGAACACCAGUGGCGAAGGCGGCUCACUGGCCCGAUACUGACGCUGAGGUGCGAAAGCGUGGGGAGCAAACAGG
Molecule: ribosomal RNA, 254 nt
Filed under: uncultured bacterium
Lineage: Bacteria
Description: partial 16S ribosomal RNA
Rfam family: Bacterial small subunit ribosomal RNA
Source: RNAcentral